CUACGGGGUGCUGCAGUGAGGAAUAUUGCACAAUGGGGGGAACCCUGAUGCAGUAACGCCGCGUGGAGGAUGACGCAUUUCGGUGUGUAAACUCCUUUUAUAUGUCAAGAAAAUGACGGUAGCAUAUGAAUAAGCACCGGCUAACUCCGUGCCAGCAGCCGCGGUAAUACGGAGGGUGCAAGCGUUACUCGGAAUCACUGGGCGUAAAGGACGCGUAGGCGGGUUGGAAAGUCAGGUGUGAAAUCCUACAGCUUAACUGUAGAACUGCACUUGAAACUUCUAAUCUAGAGUAUGGGAGGGGGAGAUGGAAUUAGUGGUGUAGGGGUAAAAUCCGUAGAUAUCACUAGGAAUACCUAAAGCGAAGGCGACCUCCUGGAACAUUACUGACGCUAAGGCGUGAAAGCGUGGGGAGCAAACAGGAUUAGAUACCCCGGUAGUC
RNAcentral lists this ribosomal RNA (439 nucleotides) under uncultured bacterium. RNAcentral's name for it is "partial 16S ribosomal RNA". It matches the Rfam family "Bacterial small subunit ribosomal RNA", at positions 339 to 795 of the family's 1533-position model. The record is from RNAcentral.